GGUGGUAUUAGCACCUAACAGUUUGAUAUCAUCUCAUACAGUGUACUGUGUACUGCUGAGCUACUGGUGUACUGCUUCAUGUUACCUAGUGUUGGGUGUUAAAGAAUAAUGAGAGGUAUUUUUACUUUGUAACACUGAGAAUUAAGCAUGGUGAUGCUGACUUCCUAGGGCUCUGUUUCAAGUGCGGAAUUUACAGAAAAAUCUGCAUCAUGGAUUUACUCACUUUAAGUUGUGGAUAUAGCUUAAAUAACAUGCUGAAAGGAUCAUUAAACUAAUUUUGCUUUGCUGAACCAGUGUUAGGAAAGAACAUCAAAGAGAAAGAAAAAAGAAUAUUGAUUUCCAAUAGUCACCAGGUCUAAAAGUCUGGUGUCAGUAUCAUUUAAUCACAUAUAGGCAUCCCGUUUCAUCAAAAUUACUGUCCCAAUUAGGCAGAAAUCCAUACUGCUUGUUAUCAUGCUGUAUUGUUUUUCUGGGAAAUGCCAUGUAUAAAACUGUAGUUGUCUGCAUUUUUUUCUUGCCAUUCUCUGAAGCAUUAGGACUUGUGUACUUACAAGAUAACUGAAAGAGUGUCCCAGAUUCUUGCACCUAACGUUUGGGAAAAUUCAGUUGGUACAUGGAGUGUAUCAUCAGAUUUGCUGGAUGAACUGCUGACAUUGUUCUUGAUAGUUUAAAAUAACAGCAGACAGUAUGAAAAAGGCAGUCUCCUCUGACAGGUGUUUUUUGCCAGUAGUAAUGUCCAGUAAUUGGAAUAAACUGCCAAGUGAAGGAAUAGAUUCUCCAUCUUUUGAUGAUUUUGUGGAAUGGGGUGCUGAGUCGCCUGAGAAGACUUUGUCGUUCCCAUCUCUGAAGUAUUCCUGCAGCUUUUCCAGGCUUUCCAAGGUGAGAAAGAGGGAGCUGAAGCAUCCUCAGUAGCUUCUUUGGAUCUCCAGUACUUCAAAGGCAGGAUUAGACCUGCAGGAUUAAUAAAUUUAACAACUAAAUCCUGAAGUAUGAUGAG
Molecule: long non-coding RNA, 997 nt
Filed under: Apteryx haastii (Great spotted kiwi)
Lineage: Eukaryota; Metazoa; Chordata; Aves; Apterygiformes; Apterygidae
Description: lncRNA (ENSAHAG00000016845.1)
Source: RNAcentral